RNAcentral lists this ribosomal RNA (232 nucleotides) under uncultured bacterium. RNAcentral's name for it is "partial 16S ribosomal RNA". It matches the Rfam family "Bacterial small subunit ribosomal RNA", at positions 118 to 347 of the family's 1533-position model. The record is from RNAcentral.
UGAGCAAUCUGCCCUUCUCUUCGGAAUAAGCGUUGGAAACGACGUCUAAUGCCGAAUACGACCUCCUUUCGCAUGAUCGGAGGUGGAAAGCUCCGGCGGAGAAGGAUGAGCCCGCGGCCUAUCAGCUAGUUGGUGAGGUAACGGCUCACCAAGGCGACGACGGGUAGCUGGUCUGAGAGGACGGCCAGCCACACUGGGACUGAGACACGGCCCAGACUCCGUACGGGAGCAG